UAAUUAGGCUUGGUUUGAUAAAAAAUUACUAUAAAUUUUUUAUGAAUUUACUAAAAAAACAAAAACAGAAAAUAAAUUUUAUUUAAUAAUACAAGAUUAUUGAAAUUUAUAGUUUAAUUUAGCUAAUU
This 128-nucleotide ribosomal RNA is filed under the name Amblyomma cajennense (Cayenne tick). RNAcentral describes it as "partial 12S ribosomal RNA". The record is from RNAcentral. Lineage: Eukaryota; Metazoa; Arthropoda; Arachnida; Ixodida; Ixodidae.